RNAcentral lists this small nuclear RNA (194 nucleotides) under Corchorus olitorius. RNAcentral describes it as "U2 spliceosomal RNA". It matches the Rfam family "U2 spliceosomal RNA". From Rfam's summary of the family: U2 is a small nuclear RNA (snRNA) component of the spliceosome (involved in pre-mRNA splicing). The record is from Rfam by way of RNAcentral. Lineage: Eukaryota; Viridiplantae; Streptophyta; Magnoliopsida; Malvales; Malvaceae.
AUACCUUUCUUGGCCUUUAGACUAAAAUCAAGUGUAAUAUCAGAUAACCUGAGUCUACGCGAUCAGGGGUGAGCUUUAUCUUUGCCCUGAUAUUAAUUUUUUUUUAAAGGGAAGGACCUAUGGUAGCUUCCUACUAGGGGUUCCCUUUGUGUCACCCUUGCUUUGCACACCCGUGAGGGUUUGGCACACCUACC